Molecule: transfer RNA, 73 nt
Filed under: Spirosoma telluris
Lineage: Bacteria; Pseudomonadati; Bacteroidota; Cytophagia; Cytophagales; Cytophagaceae
Rfam family: tRNA
About the family: Transfer RNA (tRNA) molecules are approximately 80 nucleotides in length. Their secondary structure includes four short double-helical elements and three loops (D, anti-codon, and T loops).
Source: Rfam by way of RNAcentral
ACGUCCGUAGCUCAGGGGUUAGAGCAGCACCCUUAUACGGUGAGGGCCGGUGGUUCAAACCCAUCCGGACGUA